This is a long non-coding RNA of Oryza brachyantha (malo sina), 1958 nucleotides long. RefSeq lists it as uncharacterized. The transcript has 6 exons. Lineage: Eukaryota; Viridiplantae; Streptophyta; Magnoliopsida; Poales; Poaceae. The record is from RefSeq and is a predicted model, not a curated record.
GUUACAGAGGUGAAAGCCCGUCCUCAUCUCCUUUCCUCUAGAACAAUACGCCCCUUUGCAAUCGCAUCUCUCCUCUCGACCUUUUUCGAUCCCCAUCUCUCCACCGGUGACGGCAAGUCGGAAACGAACCAAGGCAGAGCGCCGCCUCUGCAGCCUUGCCUGUGAGUCACCGGCGUGGCGGCGACCUAGCCCAGGUCCACUCCAGCCGCACGUCAGCAUCAGCGUCACCGUGAAUUUGUGAAUUGAUGAUCUAGCAGGUGGUGGGUUAUUUGCAUGUACUAGCAGCUGCCACAAGGAUAUAUUAAUAUAUUGUAGAAUCAGGUCCAACCUUUGCGCCAAUGUAUGAUCUGGCCAUUUGCUGCUUUGCAAUUUGUCUGAUCUAGUCUGCACACGAUACUAUUCAAUUCAACAAGCAUCAAGGCUACAUUGACAUUGUAUCUACUGGGCCGCAACACCAAGCUUCUAGGUGCAGUGGUUAGCCUCACCUCCAUAUAUUCGAAAACAAUUGGAUUUAAAUGCUAUUAAGAAGUUACUGCUUUUCCCUAGACCAUGUGAUCGGUACCUUGCUGGAGUAGAAGGUUUUCUUGAUUUUGCAUACAGGGAAAAAAAUCCUAAUGAUAAGAUCCGAUGUCCAUGUAAGAAAUGUGUCAAUAAGUGGUCAUUAAAGCGGGACGAAGUCUAUGACCAUUUAGUAUGUAAUGGAAUGCUACAUGGAUAUACUCCUUGGUUACUUGAAUUUCAGGAAAAAUGUCAGGACUUAAAAGUCAUGACUGUCAUAUUCUAAUCCAACAAUUUCUUCAUAUUGCUUUACGAGGUGUGCUUCUACAAUGUUACAUCUAUAUUAUUUGAUCUAUGUGGUUAUUUUAGACAAUUAAGUGCAAAAGUCCUAUACAUAGAUGUGCUUCAAAAGUUGGAUGAACAAAUUAAAAUGACAUUAUGUCGUAUGGAGAUGAUAUUUCCUCCUGGAUUUUUUAUACUAUUAUGGUGCAUUUAGUUGCUCAUUUAGCAACUGAAGCAAAAAUAUGAGGCCCUGUGUGUUACCGAUCGAUGUACUUUAUGGAAAGGUAUGUUUAUAUUACAAAUAAAAUUGAAUUUGUUAUCCAAUAUAUAUUUCUUACCAUUUUCGCAUUUCCAUGUUUAUGCUGAUAUUUGUGUGUGUUAAAGUCAUAUGUGCGUAAUAAUGCGCAUCCUGAGGGAUGCAUAGCUGAAGCAUUUUUAGCAGAUGAGUGUAUGACAUUUUGUUCAAGAUAUAUUGAAGGUUUUGAGACAAAGCACAACCAACCUUCACGAAAUGAUGAUAACGAUGAGUCCAGUGUGUGUCCUGAUGAUGAACAUCAACCAAAUAUUUUGUCAAGGCAAGCCUAGAAGUUUCGUUAUAAGUGGUUUGGCUAAAAUCCAAGCACAUAGAUAUGUGCUUUUCAAUUGCCCAGAUGUCAAUCCAUACCUUCGAAUGCAUGCUGAGGAGAUUAGAAAAACAUAUCGGCGGGGCCGUAUUACUCCAAAUAUUAUUGAGCGUACAUAGAAUGAGAAAUUCCAUGAAUGGUUUAAUGCUUAUGUAAGUGUCAUUUUCGCAGGUGACACAACAUUUGAGCCAUUCCAUGUGUUCAAUGAUGCAAACAAUUAUGAACAAUGGGUUAGAACAGAUGUUGAUGGAAUGACAGUGGAUGCCACUAACAGUGCUUUGAAUAAUAAACCAUAGUGGAUGGUAAUUUUUUUCCUCAUUAUUUCGCUAUUCAUGGUCCAUCCGAUUGUUAUGGUGGAAAAUUGAUCAAGUGAAGGCUUGCUUUACCAACCUCUUUGCAGAUUUCAGUUAUAAUUUUGUUCAGUUACGAAGGUGGCACAUUGAGGAAAUUAUUCAUUGUGUACUGAACUUCUGAUUUUUGUACCGUUAAAUUAUGAAAUAAUGUUAUUAACUCUAUGAUUUCUAUGGUGCCUUGUUUUCUGCAUAUUAUCUUUUA